UUGCUUGUUUUGGAGUUAUUGGCAGAAUUUACAGCAUUGCUAGAACAUAAAAUAGAUUAAUACAUAAGCUAAUGUAUAGCAUGUUCUCUGAUCUUUACCAGGGAUUAAACUCCUGUUCAUUAACACUAACUAACGAGGGUCAAGGGAUACCACUAAGGCUUCUCCUGUUCACUAACGAGGGUCAAGGGAUACCACUAAGGCUUCUCCUGUUCACUAACGAGGGUCAAGGGAUACCACUGAGGCUUCUCCUGUUCACUAACGAGGGUCAAGGGAUACCACUAAGGCUUCUCCUGUUCACUAACGAGGGUCAAGGGAUACCACUGAGGCUUCUCCUGUUCAUUAACACUAACGAGGGUCAAGGGAUACCACUAAGGCUUCUCCUGUUCACUAACGAGGGUCAAGGGAUACCACUAAGGCUUCUCCUGUUCACUAACGAGGGUCAAGGGAUACCACUAAGGCUUCUCCUGUUCACUAACAAGGGUCAAGGGAUACCACUAAGGCUCCUCCUGUUCAUUAACACUAACGAGGG
Long non-coding RNA from Oncorhynchus keta (chum salmon), 529 nucleotides. RefSeq lists it as uncharacterized. The record is from RefSeq and is a predicted model, not a curated record. NCBI's taxonomy places the organism in Eukaryota, Metazoa, Chordata, Actinopteri, Salmoniformes, Salmonidae. The transcript is spliced from 4 exons.